UUCAACCUACGGGAGGCAGCAGUGAGGAGUAUUGGUCAAUGGCCGGGAGGCUGAACCAGCCAAGUCGCGUGAGUGAAGACGGCCCUACGGGUUGUAAACCUCUUUUGUCAGGGAGCAAGGUGCAGGUCGGGACCUGCUGUGAGAGUACCUGAAGAAAAAGCAUCGGCUAACUCCGUGCCAGCAGCCGCGGUAAUACGGAGGAUGCGAGCGUUACCCGGAUUUAUUGGGUUUAAAGGGUGCGCAGGCGGAGGCACAAGUCAGCGGUAAAAUCGCUGGGCUCAACCCCGCUCC
RNAcentral lists this ribosomal RNA (291 nucleotides) under uncultured bacterium. RNAcentral describes it as "partial 16S ribosomal RNA". It matches the Rfam family "Bacterial small subunit ribosomal RNA", at positions 331 to 621 of the family's 1533-position model. The record is from RNAcentral.